Molecule: ribosomal RNA, 419 nt
Filed under: uncultured bacterium
Lineage: Bacteria
Description: bacterial SSU rRNA
Rfam family: Bacterial small subunit ribosomal RNA
Source: RNAcentral
UAACGCGAAGAACCUUACCAGGACUUGACAUGCCACUUUUUCCCUGAAAGGGGAAGUUCCCGAGUGGACACAGGUGGUGCAUGGCUGUCGUCAGCUCGUGUCUUGAGAUGAGUUGGGUUAGUCCCGCAACGAGCGCAACCCUUGUUUUGAAUUGCCAGUUAUGGGAAAUUCAAAAGACUGCCGGUGACAAGCCGGAGGAAGGUGAGGAUGACGUCAAGUCAGCAUGCCCCUUACGUCCUGGGCUACACACGUGCUACAAUGGCCGGGACAAAGAGAUGCAAUCCCGCGAGGGGGAGCCAACCUCAAAAACCCGGUCUCAGUUCGGAUUGUAGGCUGCAACUCGCCUACAUGAAGUCGGAAUCGCUAGUAAUCGCAGGUCAGACAUACUGCGUGAAUACGUUCCCGGGUCUUGACACCGA